AUAGGCGAAGAGAUUGAAGUGGCCACUC
Molecule: small RNA, 28 nt
Filed under: Bombyx mori (domestic silkworm)
Lineage: Eukaryota; Metazoa; Arthropoda; Insecta; Lepidoptera; Bombycidae
Description: ovarian small RNA-4592
Source: RNAcentral